This is an unclassified non-coding RNA of Macaca fascicularis (crab-eating macaque), 341 nucleotides long. It matches the Rfam family "Metazoan signal recognition particle RNA". Rfam says of the family: The signal recognition particle (SRP) is a universally conserved ribonucleoprotein. It is involved in the co-translational targeting of proteins to membranes. The eukaryotic SRP consists of a 300-nucleotide 7S RNA and six proteins: SRPs 72, 68, 54, 19, 14, and 9. Lineage: Eukaryota; Metazoa; Chordata; Mammalia; Primates; Cercopithecidae. The record is from Ensembl.
GCUGGGAGUAGUAGCAUGUGCCUGUAGUCCCAUCUACUCGGAGCGCUGAGGCAGGAGAAUCACUUGAGCCCAGGAGUUUAAGACCAGUUUGUGCAACACAGAGAGACUCCUGUCUCUACAAAAAAUGAAAAAAUUAGCUGGGCGUGGUGGUGCACACCUGUGGUCAGCCUCAACAUGGUGACUUCCCAGGAGUGAGGGACCACCAGGCUGCCUAAGGUGGGGUGAACCAGCCCAGGUCAGAAAAGGAGCAGGUCAAACUCCCAUGCUGGUUAGUAGUGGGAUUGCACCUGUGAAUAGACACUGCACUCCAGCCUGGGCAAUAUAGCAAGAACCUGUCUUAA